GAAGAGCAUUUGAAACAGCAAGACUUGAGUACAGGAGAGGAAAGCGGAAUUCCUGGUGUAGAGGUGAAAUUCGUAGAUAUCAGGAGGAACACCCAUGGCGAAGGCAGCUUUCUGGACUGAUACUGACGCUGAGGCGCGAAGGUGUGGGUAGCGAACAGGAUUAGAUACCCUGGUAGUCCACACAGUAAACGAUGUUCACUAGGUGUAGCGGGUAUUAAAACCUGCUGUGCCGGAGUUAACGCAUUAAGUGAACCGCCUGGGGAGUACGGUCGCAAGAUUAAAACUCAAAGGAAUUGACGGGGGCCCGCACAAGCGGUGGAGCAUGUGGUUUAAUUCGACGCAACGCGAAGAACCUUACCUGGAUUUGACAUCCUGUGAAUCCCCGAGAG
Molecule: ribosomal RNA, 389 nt
Filed under: uncultured bacterium
Lineage: Bacteria
Description: bacterial SSU rRNA
Rfam family: Bacterial small subunit ribosomal RNA
Source: RNAcentral